AUUGAACGCUGGCGGCAUGCCUUACACAUGCAAGUCGAACGGCAGCACGGGGGCAACCCUGGUGGCGAGUGGCGAACGGGUGAGUAACAUAUCGGAACAUACCCUAGAGUGGGGGAUAACGUAGCGAAAGUUACGCUAAUACCGCAUACGAUCUAAGGAUGAAAGUGGGGGAUCUUCGGACCUCAUGCUCAUGGAGUGGCCGAUAUCUGAUUAGCUAGUUGGUGAGGUAAAGGCUCACCAAGGCGACGAUCAGUAGCUGGUUUGAGAGAACGACCAGCCACACUGGAACUGAGACACGGUCCAGACUCCUACGGAGGCAGCAGUGGGAAUUUUGGACAAUGGGGCAACCUGAUCCAGCAAUGCCGCGUGAGUGAAGAAGGCC
RNAcentral lists this ribosomal RNA (382 nucleotides) under uncultured bacterium. RNAcentral's name for it is "bacterial SSU rRNA". It matches the Rfam family "Bacterial small subunit ribosomal RNA", at positions 30 to 416 of the family's 1533-position model. The record is from RNAcentral.